This 579-nucleotide ribosomal RNA is filed under the name uncultured archaeon. RNAcentral's name for it is "bacterial SSU rRNA". It matches the Rfam family "Archaeal small subunit ribosomal RNA", at positions 180 to 760 of the family's 1478-position model. The record is from RNAcentral.
UUGUGUUCCAAAUGAUUUAUCGCCAUAGGAUGGGACUGCGGCCUAUCAGUUUGUUGGUGAGGUAAUGGCCCACCAAGACUAUUACAGGUACGGGCUCUGAGAGGAGUAGCCCGGAGAUGGGUACUGAGACACGGACCCAGGCCCUAUGGGGCGCAGCAGGCGAGAAAACUUUGCAAUGUGCGAAAGCACGACAAGGUUAAUCCGAGUGAUUUGUGCUAAACGAAUCUUUUGUUAGUCCUAGAAACACUAACGAAUAAGGGGUGGGCAAGUUCUGGUGUCAGCCGCCGCGGUAAAACCAGCACCUCAAGUGGUCAGGAUGAUUAUUGGGCCUAAAGCAUCCGUAGCCGGCUCUGUAAGUUUUCGGUUAAAUCUGUACGCUUAACGUACAGGCUGCCGGGAAUACUGCAGAGCUAGGGAGUGGGAGAGGUAGACGGUACUCGGUAGGAAGUGGUAAAAUGCUUUGAUCUAUCGAUGACCACCUGUGGCGAAGGCGGUCUACCAGAACACGUCCGACGGUGAGGGAUGAAAGCUGGGGGAGCAAACCGGAUUAGAUACCCGGGUAGUCCCAGCUGUAAACUA